Molecule: small nuclear RNA, 139 nt
Organism: Lemur catta (Ring-tailed lemur)
Lineage: Eukaryota; Metazoa; Chordata; Mammalia; Primates; Lemuridae
Product: U4 spliceosomal RNA
Exons: 1
Source: RefSeq, a predicted model, not a curated record
AGCUUCGCACAGCGGCAGUAUCAUAGCCAAUAGGGUUUAUCCAAGGCGUGAUUAUUGCUAAGUGAAAACUUUCCCAGUACUCCACAUGAUGACGUGCAACAUAGUUGGCACUGACAAUUUUUGACAGUCUCUAUGGAGA